CUUCAACGACCCCAACCACAACGGACGACCCUCACCCCGGCCUUGUCCGUAGGUCGCCAAAAUCGCCUGCGCCUC
Molecule: antisense RNA, 75 nt
Filed under: Streptomyces bingchenggensis BCW-1
Lineage: Bacteria; Bacillati; Actinomycetota; Actinomycetes; Kitasatosporales; Streptomycetaceae
Description: ASpks TB sRNA
Rfam family: ASpks TB sRNA
Source: Rfam by way of RNAcentral